GAUGAACGCUGGCGGCGUGCCUAAUACAUGCGAGUCGAGCGAACAGACGAGGAGCUUGCUCCUCUGACGUUAGCGGCGGACGGGUGAGUAACACGUGGAUAACCUACCUAUAAGACUGGGAUAACUUCGGGAAACCGGAGCUAAUACCGGAUAAUAUAUUGAACCGCAUGGUUCAAUAGUGAAAGACGGUUUUGCUGUCACUUAUAGAUGGAUCCGCGCCGCAUUAGCUAGUUGGUAAGGUAACGGCUUACCAAGGCGACGAUGCGUAGCCGACCUGAGAGGGUGAUCGGCCACACUGGACCUGAGACACGGUCCAGACUCCUACGGGAGGCAGCAGUAGGGAAUCUUCCGCAAUGGGCGAAAGCCUGACGGAGCAACGCCGCGUGAGUGAUGAAGGUCUUCGGAUCGUAAAACUCUGUUAUUAGGGAAGAACAAAUGUGUAAGUAACUAUGCACGUCUUGACGGUACCUAAUCAGAAAGCCACGGCUAACUACGUG
This 497-nucleotide ribosomal RNA is filed under the name uncultured bacterium. Its description in RNAcentral is "partial 16S ribosomal RNA". It matches the Rfam family "Bacterial small subunit ribosomal RNA", at positions 28 to 507 of the family's 1533-position model. The record is from RNAcentral.